This is a non-coding RNA of Trichonephila clavipes, 72 nucleotides long. Lineage: Eukaryota; Metazoa; Arthropoda; Arachnida; Araneae; Nephilidae. The record is from the annotation of a GenBank genome assembly.
GCCAUCAUAGCUCAGUGGCAGAGCACUGGUCUCGUAAACCAGGGGUCGUGAGUUCGGACUUCCCUGGUGGCU